AUCAGUUGCUUAGCCAUACGUCGCCUUUCCAAAGAAUCUCAGCAAGGCGCCGCGUAACAGUAAGUAUGAACAAAUUCAGACUGUGAAACUGCGAAUGGCUCAUUAAAUCAGUUAUAGUUUGUUUGAUGGUAUCUACUACUCGGAUAACCGUAGUAAUUCUACAGCUAUACUUGCAACAAACCCCGACUUCUGGAAGGGAUGCAUUUAUUAGAUAAAAGGUCGACGCGGGUUCUGCCCGUUGCUGCGAUGAUUCAUGAUAACUUGACGGAUCGCACGGCCAUCGUGCCGGUGACGCAUCAUUCAAAUUCUGCCCAAUCAACUUUCGAUGGUAGGAUAGUGGCCUACUGUUAGACCUCUGCCAAUUGAGCUCGACUUGACAAUAAGAGUGUUGUCAUGAGGCAGCAAGAGUGUUGCAAGGCAGGUGCGCGAGUAGCACCAAAGUCAAAAAGGGAAACGGGCAAGUGAUGGCCAAGGCUUUGACGGAGGCGAGGCAGCUUGGCAAGGGCUUGACAAUGAGUUGUGGGCUAAGGGUGACACUCGAUCAUGACAAAGGCAUCAAGGCAUGAGGCAUUGAUGCCAAGGCAAGGCAGAAACGGAAUAGCAAAGGCAAGCAAAUGUGCAACGGGAAUGCAGUGCGCGGGCAAACUUGUUAUGGCAUUGAGUUGCGGCAAACGGGCCAAGUUCGUGGGCGAUGGCAAGGCAAAUUGUGGCACAAUGCAGCUGGAUACAAUGGCAUUGACGCCUGGUCCAAGUCAAGGGACGAAAUUGGGCAGCAAGUCUUGGAUUAACAAAGUCAAAGGCGAUUACGGGCACAUGCUGUGCACAUGGGCAGCAAUUGAAGCUUUUCUAAAAUGCUGACAGGAGUUAGCACGUUUUUGGGGCCAUGAUCCCAUUAUACUUUAGCAUGAUUUACAUGAUCCUAGUAGUUGGGGGUGUCAACUACACUAGACUAAAGUAGUGGGCUGAGUUUGCAAGUGUGAAAGCCUAAAAUUGGGCAACUAUUGUGUAAAUGGGGCUGGUUCAUGUUUUAUAAAUGGACAACACCCAUUCCCUUUGUGGCAUAGAGAGAAAAACGUGUAAGAGUGCAUGUUUUGAGUUAGGAAGAGUCCUAAAAAUCUGUUUUCAAGAGUGAAAACAACCUAAGGCUAAGAGUAGUCUUGUGAGGGUUAAGAGUGAUCUUCAUUUUAGUACACGGAUGUACGUCGAGUUGAGUUUCUUUGUAUGCUCGAGUUAUAUACAAAGUUGGAAAAAGAGUUUCUUGUAUAUUGUGCCUUUUGUUUACGUUUAUUUUCUGUCCCUUCACUAUAUUUUCGUUUUCUAAAAUCAGUAUCUACUUACUACGUUGAAAAGCUACCAAAAUAAUUCGAAGUCCAAAGUUGCUGAAAUUUUGGCCGAGUGUUGGAGCAGGCUGAAGUCAAGUCGAGUCUUGGCUGCCGCGCGGGCUGUUUUUGAGUGACAUAAAACGCGCUCGUGACACCUACCAUGGUGGUGACGGGUGACGGAGAAUUAGGGUUCGAUUCCGGAGAGGGAGCCUGAGAAACGGCUACCACAUCCAAGGAAGGCAGCACUCGCGCAAAUUACCCAAUCCUGACACGGGGAGGUAGUGACAAUAAAUAACAAUACUGGGCUCUAUGAGUCUGGUAAUUGGAAUGAGUACAAUCUAAAUCCCUUAACGAGGAUCCAUUGGAGGGCAAGUCUGGUACCAGCAACCGCGGUAAUUCUAGCUCCAAUAGCGUAUAUUUAAGUUGUUGCAGUUAAAAAGCUCGUAGUUGGACUUUGGGAUGGGCCGGCCGGUCCGCCUUAGGUGUGCAUCGGUCGUCUCGUCCCUUCUGCCAGCGAUGCGCUCCUAGCCUUAAUUGGCCGGGUCGUGCCUCCGGCGCUAUUACUUUGAAGAAAUUAAAGUGCUCAAAGCAAGCCUACUGUCACGGGCUUAACUCAAGUAAGCACGUGCGGACAACUUGACAGCGUAUCUACUGCUUCAAGCUUCAGUCCUAAUGAAAUAACAAGCACAAACUCGUGCUCAAGC
This 2026-nucleotide non-coding RNA is filed under the name Nicotiana attenuata. Its description in RNAcentral is "Eukaryotic small subunit ribosomal RNA". It matches the Rfam family "Eukaryotic small subunit ribosomal RNA", at positions 59 to 891 of the family's 1831-position model. The record is from Rfam by way of RNAcentral. Lineage: Eukaryota; Viridiplantae; Streptophyta; Magnoliopsida; Solanales; Solanaceae.